AUGGACAAGGAAAAUGGGAAGGCGAAUGGGAAGGAGAAGGAGAAAGAGAGGACCUUGGACUCCAUUAUGAAGAGCAAGGUGCCGGUCUCGGGGAUGCAGAAGGGGAAUGGGAAGGGCAAUGCAGCAGCUACUACGCGGCUGCCAAGAAAGCUCGCAAAUGAUUGCAGCAAUGCCCCAAUCGCUGAGUUGUUGUAUAGGGUAAAAAAGAAACCUCCGCCUCGACGUCUCCCUGACCCCGCCGGCGCUGGUGUGUGUGCUGCAAUCACCGCUGCCUCCGGCUCCGCAAACUACUAUGAGAAGGAGGCUACAUCUUCCCAGGCAAUGGAGCAUGAUAAGCAAGCAGAGGAGGAUCAUGAAGAGGUGGAAGAGGACGAGGAGGAGGACGGGGAAGAGCAAGAUACUUUGUUUGAGGUGCCGCCCGGGGCUGGUGACAAAUCAGAUUCAGAUGGGUUUGUGGAUAGUGAAGAAGAAGCCUUCGAAGGUGAUGACAUGUCCGAGGAUGGUCUAGGCCUUGGUCCUACGCCUCAAGAGCAAGAAACCGUACUUCUUAGUUCGAGUGAGGAUGAAGCAAGAAAAGCGCAACGAAAGAGUGCCAAGAAGCGAAGAGGUCAAGCUCCUUCGAGGUUGAGGUCGGCUGUUUGGACCUUCUUUCAUAAGGUAGAGGUGCCAUCGAAAGAAGGUUUGAUGGAGUUGAAGGCACAAUGUAAUUAUUGUGACAAUCAAUAUGCAUAUGUCCAAGGUGGAAGCACCUCAUCCAUGGGAAGACAUAUGGACACAUGUAAGAAUUAUAAGGACAAGGUUAAUAGGGAUCUCAUCCAAGCUACUCUGUUUUUUAGAAAAACCAAUGCAACAACAAGUGGUCCAGCUAUCCAAUGCAUUGAGUAUGAUAAGGACCUCAUCAAGGAGGUCAUGGCAAAGAUGAUUUGCGUCCAUGAGUACUCAUUUAGAAUGGUUGAACAUAAAUGGUUCAACAUUCUCAUGAAGUGCUUGAAUCCAAACUAUCAACCUAUUGGAAGGAAGGCAAUAAGAGCUGAAUGCAUGAGGGUUUUCAAGAAAGAAAGGGAGUUGCUUCAAGUUGCCCUAAAGGAUGUGGACUUCAUUAGUCUGACAACCGACUUGUGGACUAGCAACCAGACCAUAUCAUAUAUGUGUGUGGUUGCACACUUUAUAGAUAAGGAUUGGAAGAUGCAAACACGUGUUCUUUCUUUCAUAGAUUUGGAUCCUCCUCACUCCGGGCAUGUGAUUUCAGAUGCUAUCUAUGAGUGUGUGACUGAAUGGAAGAUAGAGAAGAAAAUUAUAUCCAUCACACUAGACAAUGCUUCAAACAAUGAUGUUGCGGUCAGAGGUUUGAAGGCAAAGUUUGCUGUUCGGAGAGGUACGGGCUUUGAAGCCAAAUAUUUCCAUGUCCGUUGUUGUGCACACAUUAUCAACUUGGUGGUGCAAGAUGGGACAACCAUCAUGGCCCCUUUGAUAGAGAAUUUGAGAGAGACGGUUAAGUAUUUCAAGAAGUCACCGAGUCGCCUCCACAAGUUUGUUGAGACUUGCAAAAUAUUGGGUGUUGAGGUUGGCAACCAUUUGCAUCUUGAUUGUGUCACGCGGUGGAGUUCAACGUACCAGAUGCUUGAUACAGCCUGCCCGUAUAGGGAAGCCUUGUCCUCUUAUGCAGCUUCAAAUGCCAACUAUCAAUGGGAACCGGAAAAAGAAGAAUGGGACAAGUUUGAAGUUAUUAAGCCAUUGCUCCUCUCUUUAUCUCGUGUGACAACUGCGUUUUCAGGGCAAUUAUAUCCCACCUCCAACAUAUUCUACCCUCACAUUGUCAGCAUCAAGAUUGCUUUGAGAAAAGCCAUGGCUCAUGAUGAUGAAUGCUACAAGAAAAUGGGUGAUGCAAUGAUGGAUAAAUUUGACAAGUAUUGGGAUGAGCCGAACAAUGUCAUGGUGCUUGCUACCAUCUUGGACCCAAGGUACAAGAUGAGGUAUGUUGAGUGGUGCUAUCACCAAAUGUAUGCUGUGGGGAAAGCAAAUACUGAGAAGAAUAUUGUGCGCGGAGAGUUGGACACAUUGUAUGAGAAGUUUGUUGCGAAAAAUAAGCAAGCUGGAGAAAGAGCUAGUGGAUCAUCAGCCAAGAACAAUUGCAACACAAGUACCUCGAUGCCACUUAUGGAUUGUGAGUUUUAG
RNAcentral lists this ribosomal RNA (2175 nucleotides) under Triticum aestivum (bread wheat). Its description in RNAcentral is "partial small subunit ribosomal RNA". The record is from RNAcentral. Lineage: Eukaryota; Viridiplantae; Streptophyta; Magnoliopsida; Poales; Poaceae.